Long non-coding RNA from Choloepus didactylus (southern two-toed sloth), 402 nucleotides. RefSeq lists it as uncharacterized. Lineage: Eukaryota; Metazoa; Chordata; Mammalia; Pilosa; Megalonychidae. The record is from RefSeq and is a predicted model, not a curated record. The transcript has 2 exons.
CCGGCCUCCCCCUCCCCCCCGAGCGGGGCAACCCCCGCCCUCCUGGCUCUCGACCCCGGCUGAUGUAAGACAGACUGGAGUGUCACCGCUGCCACCGUGACAGGCCUGCCGCCUCCCCCUGAGCAAAGCCCACACCAAUGCAACCCACUGUGGGACCCCAGCCUUACCAUCUGAGUCCUUCUGAUUGGGAUUGGGCACCAGGCGACAGUUAUCAGGACCAGGAGGCACAUAAUCUGGGACACCAUCAUUGUCAUCAUCCCCAUCACAUUCAUCUCCCAGACCGUCAUUGUCUGAGUCCAGCUGGGAGCUAUUGGGCAGCUGUGGGCAGUUGUCCUUGGUGUCCUGAUGCCCAUCCCCAUCACUGCCCAGAAGAGAAGGCACCCAAUAAAGGCUCUCACAGUA